This 621-nucleotide long non-coding RNA is filed under the name Homo sapiens (human). RNAcentral's name for it is "non-protein coding ST7-AS1:3". Lineage: Eukaryota; Metazoa; Chordata; Mammalia; Primates; Hominidae. The record is from RNAcentral.
GAAGGCCAAGUGGCGCGCCGAAGGAAACGCCUCAGGCAGUUACAACCCGCAUAAGUUGAGCGUUUACCACACGCCAGGCGCUGCUCCACGAUCCGUACAAUCUCAUUUAACCCCUGCAACAAUUCCCCACUACGAUCCUCUUUCUAUAGGUAGGGAAACUGAGGCUCACAGCAGCUGCGUAGUUUACCUUAAGGUGGAACCAAAAUUCAAUUGCAGUGGUGUAUUCUGGGGUCCGAGGUCUUAAACCCUACUCUGCUCCCUUAUCAGGAUUCAGGCUCAGGGAAUGAAUAAACCCGGGACAGCUAGGAGAAGGGAGGAGGUGCGCUCCUGUCGCCGGCUAGUAGGCCUGAAGAUAAAUCACUCUAUUCAGCAAGAUUUGGGUGGCAGAUGCUAUUUACCUUUGUUCUGUCUCUUUGAAGCAGCGCAGGGAUUUUCCAGAGAAAUCUUGACAGAUGAAUGUUUAUCCUCCAGGUUUUUUGGUGAUCAGAGGUCAAACUAUUCUCAGCCUGUUUUUAAUAUAAACAAUUCUCUGGGAUAAUUUUGACUGUGAAACGGCCACCUCUAACAGAAAGUCCAUUUUAAACAUUGUUUUGUUGUUUUUGUUUUGUUUUGACUGUGCUG